This 508-nucleotide ribosomal RNA is filed under the name uncultured bacterium. RNAcentral's name for it is "bacterial SSU rRNA". It matches the Rfam family "Bacterial small subunit ribosomal RNA", at positions 28 to 527 of the family's 1533-position model. The record is from RNAcentral.
GACGAACGCUGGCGGCGUGGAUUAGGCAUGCAAGUCGAACGGUAUCAUCCUUUCGGGGGUGAGAGAGUGGCGAACUGGUGAGUAACACGUAGGUUAUCUACCCUCAAGACGGGGACAACCCAGGGAAACUUGGGCUAAUACCGGAUGUGAGCAACUUUUAGUUGUUUGAAAGGUGGCGUAAGCUGUCGCUUGGGGAUGAGCCUGCGUCCUAUUAGUUAGUUGGUGAGGUAACGGCUCACCUAGGCAAUGAUAGGUAGGCGGCCUUAACGGGUGGUCGCCCACACUGGGAUUGAGAUACGGCCCAGACUCCUACGGGAGGCAGCAGUCGAGAAUAGUCUACAAUGGUCGGAAGACUGAUAGUGCGACGCCGCGUGAACGAUGAAUCCCUUCGGGGUGUAAAGUUCUUUUAUAUGUGAGCAGUGCUUCUUAUAUUAAACAGUAUGGGGAGAGAGAUAUUAGCAUAUGAAUAAGCAACGGCUAACUCCGUGCCAGCAGCCGGGUAAACACG